RNAcentral lists this long non-coding RNA (646 nucleotides) under Nicotiana benthamiana. Its description in RNAcentral is "long non-coding RNA (NBEN_LNC019435)". Lineage: Eukaryota; Viridiplantae; Streptophyta; Magnoliopsida; Solanales; Solanaceae. The record is from RNAcentral.
AGAUGUUGAUUGCCAUCGGUUGUUGCGGGAAACAUCGGGAGGCGACAUCCCUCGUGGCAGCUGAUGGCUUUUGGCAACAAAAUGGCAAAGCAUCGUGCAAGUAGCACCGCAAGGUGCCAUGCGCAUGGGGUGAAGCUUAGUAUGUUUUCGAUUGCCAUCGGUUGUUGCGGGCAACAUCGGGAGUUGACAUCGCUCGUGGUGGCUGAUGGCUUUUGGCAACAAAAUGGCAAAGCAUCGUGCAAGUAGCGCCGCAAGGUGCCGUGCGCGCGGGGCAAAGCUUAGUAAGUUGUCGAUUGCCAUCGGUUUGUGCGGGAAACAUCGGGAGGCGACAUAGCUAGUGGCGGCUGAUGGCUUUUGGCAACAAAAUGGCAAAGCAUUUUGCAAGUAUCGCCGCAAGGUGUCGUUCGCACGGGGCGAAGCUUAGUAAGUUACCGAUUGCCAUCGGUUGUUGCGGGCAACAUCGGGAGGCGACAUUGCUCGUGGCGGCUGAUGGCUUUUGGCAACAAAAUGGCAAAGCAUCGUGCAAGUAGCGCCACAAGGUGCCGUGCGCACGGAGCGAAGCUUAGUAAGUUGCCGAUUGCCAUCGGUUGUUGCGGUAAACAUCGGGAGGCGACAUCGCUAGUGGCGGCUGAUGGCUUUUGGCAAC